Molecule: ribosomal RNA, 440 nt
Filed under: uncultured bacterium
Lineage: Bacteria
Description: partial 16S ribosomal RNA
Rfam family: Bacterial small subunit ribosomal RNA
Source: RNAcentral
CCUACGGGCGGCAGCAGUGGGGAAUAUUGGACAAUGGGGGAAACUCUGAUCCAGCGACGCCGCGUGAGUGAAGAAGUAUUUCGGUACGUAAAGCUCUAUCAGCAGGAAAGAAAAUGACGGUACCUGACUAAGAAGCCCCGGCUAACUACGUGCCAGCAGCCGCGGUAAUACGUAGGGGGCGAGCGUUGUCCGGAAUGACUGGGCGUAAAGGGAGUGUAGGCGGCAUAUUAAGUUAUGUGUGAAAGCCCGCGGCUCAACCGCGGAAUUGCACAUAAAACUGGUAAGCUGGAGUGCAGGAGAGGUAAGUGGAAUUCCCGGUGUAGCGGUGGAAUGCGUAGAUAUCGGGAGGAACACCAGAGGCGAAGGCGACUUACUGGACUGUAACUGACGCUGAGGCUCGAAAGCGUGGGGAGCAAACAGGAUUAGAUACCCCUGUAGUC